Molecule: ribosomal RNA, 514 nt
Filed under: uncultured bacterium
Lineage: Bacteria
Description: partial 16S ribosomal RNA
Rfam family: Bacterial small subunit ribosomal RNA
Source: RNAcentral
GAUGAACGCUAGCUACAGGCUUAACACAUGCAAGUCGAGGGGAAACGAUAGAGAAAGCUUGCUUUUUCUAGGCGUCGACCGGCGCACGGGUGAGUAACGCGUAUCCAACCUGCCCACCACUUGGGGAUAACCUUGCGAAAGUAAGACUAAUACCCAAUGAUAUCUCAAGAAGACAUCUGAAUGAGAUUAAAGAUUUAUCGGUGAUGGAUGGGGAUGCGUCCGAUUAGCUUGUUGGCGGGGUAACGGCCCACCAAGGCGACGAUCAGUAGGGGUUCUGAGAGGAAGGUCCCCCACAUUGGAACUGAGACACGGUCCAAACUCCUACGGGAGGCAGCAGUGAGGAAUAUUGGUCAAUGGGCGAGAGCCUGAACCAGCCAAGUAGCGUGCAGGAUGACGGCCCUAUGGGUUGUAAACUGCUUUUAUACGGAACGAAAAGGUCUCUCUUAAUACGGGGGACUCAUGACGGUACCGUAAGAAUAAGCACCGGCUAACUACGUGCCAGCCGCCGCGGUAA